CUUCCGUUGGGGGCCUCGGGGCUCAACCCGGGCCUCGAGGCGGAAGCCUUUCUUGUCGGCCGCGCUUUUCGACGUUUAGGGUUCAAUCUUUCAAGGGCGUUUACGGGAGAGAAGGAACUGAAUUCGGUGGCUUCUUAUCUUCCUAUUAAGAAUUCUGAAAAAUGUUGCCUACUUCAUCCAUCUUCACCACUCCAUACAACUUUAUAAGAUGGAUCCAUUUUCAAAUAAUUUUCUA
This 235-nucleotide long non-coding RNA is filed under the name Notechis scutatus (mainland tiger snake). Its description in RNAcentral is "lncRNA (ENSNSUG00000011485.1)". The record is from RNAcentral. Lineage: Eukaryota; Metazoa; Chordata; Lepidosauria; Squamata; Elapidae.